This 625-nucleotide small RNA is filed under the name Pongo abelii (Sumatran orangutan). RNAcentral describes it as "retained intron". Lineage: Eukaryota; Metazoa; Chordata; Mammalia; Primates; Hominidae. The record is from RNAcentral.
AGAUAAUCUCUCUAUUCAAGAGUUUCAAAGAAAUGAAAAUAUUGAUGUCGAGGUAGUUCAACUUAUCAGCAAUGAGAUACUACCUUAUGCCAAUUUUAUUCCUAAGGAAUUUGUUGGUCAAAUAAUGACAAUGCUUAACAAGGGCUCAAUACAUUCUCAGUCAUCUUCAUUUACAGAAGCAGAGAUUGAUAUUCGUUUGAGAGAGGAAUUUUCUAAAAUGUGUUUUGAAACAUUACUCCAGUUUUCCUUCAGUAAUAAAGUCACAACACCUCAAGAAGGCUACAUCUCACGAAUGGCACUCUCAGUGCUCUUAAAGAGGUCCCAAGAUGUACUACAUCGCUAUAUAGAGGAUGAAAGAUUAAGUGGUAAAUGCCCUCUUCCAAGGUAUAUAUUUCAUUUUAUUAAAGAAAUAAAUGUAUUGUACUAAUUGUUGAUAACAAGGAAAACUCUGAAAAGCAAGUGUUUUUGUAAGUGAUCUGAACUAAGCUGAAGUUGUUUAUAAUCUUAUUUAUCCCAUAUGGUGUAAAUAUUCACAGGUUUUCCUGCAGAUUUAUUAACAUGUUUUAUUAUGGGGUGCAUUUUUAGAUCCCUCAUGGAGAUUAUGUAACAUAUGAUACAUAGGUAC